RNAcentral lists this transfer RNA (66 nucleotides) under Crassadoma gigantea. Its description in RNAcentral is "tRNA-Val". Lineage: Eukaryota; Metazoa; Mollusca; Bivalvia; Pectinida; Pectinidae. The record is from RNAcentral.
GCCGGGCUAGUAUAUAGAGUACGGGUGGAUUACGCCCACUUAGAGGCCAUAGUCGGUCGCUCGGUU